GAGUUUGAUCAUGGCUCAGGAUGAACGCUAGCGGCAGGCUUAAUACAUGCAAGUCGAGGGGCAGCAGCUUUAUAGCAAUAUAGAGGCUGGCGACCGGCAAACGGGUGCGGAACACGUACACAACCUUCCUUGAAUAGGGGGAUAGCCCAUAGAAAUGUGGAUUAAUACCCCGUAAUAUAGCGGUGUGGCAUCACACUGUUAUUAUAGUUUCGGCGAUUCGAGAUGGGUGUGCGGCUGAUUAGGUAGUUGGCGGGGUAAAGGCCCACCAAGCCUUCGAUCAGUAGCUGAUGUGAGAGCAUGAUCAGCCACACGGGCACUGAGACACGGGCCCGACUCCUACGGGAGGCAGCAGUAAGGAAUAUUGGUCAAUGGACGCAAGUCUGAACCAGCCAUGCCGCGUGAAGGAUGAAGGUCCUCUGGAUCGUAAACUUCUUUUAUAGGGGGCGAAAAAAGGUCUUCUAGAUCACUKACAGUACCC
This 478-nucleotide ribosomal RNA is filed under the name uncultured Bacteroidota bacterium. RNAcentral describes it as "bacterial SSU rRNA". Lineage: Bacteria; Pseudomonadati; Bacteroidota. The record is from RNAcentral.